GAAACCCUGCAAGAGCUGGUCUCUGAGAAUUCUGUGAGGAGCCAGAAAUGGAAGCCAAAUGUUGGUGUCAGGUAGAGGAAGCUGGACCUGGUUUUGUCAGGGCUGUCAGUUUUUCCAGGGCAGGGGCCAUGACCCACCCUGAGGCCCGGAGGACCCUGUGCAGCAUCAGCCAAUGUCCUGUUGAGUGACGGCAGGGCCCAGGAAAUUUCCAGAGCGAAGGGGAGCCACAUCUUCCCCAUCGGGUCCUUUCAGAUCUUCCCUGAGGCUUGGGAAAGGGGCAGUCUUUGCAUCUGGACUCUAUAUUUACACGUUUUCAAGGCCCACGGAAUUUUGCAGACUUAAGUUUGGACCACAAAAGCUCACUUCUGCAGUUUUAAGAUUAAAAAGUAAAACC
This 394-nucleotide long non-coding RNA is filed under the name Mus spretus (western wild mouse). RNAcentral's name for it is "lncRNA (ENSMSPG00010039176.1)". The record is from RNAcentral. Lineage: Eukaryota; Metazoa; Chordata; Mammalia; Rodentia; Muridae.